Molecule: long non-coding RNA, 2056 nt
Filed under: Malus domestica (apple)
Lineage: Eukaryota; Viridiplantae; Streptophyta; Magnoliopsida; Rosales; Rosaceae
Description: long non-coding RNA (MDOM_LNC008242)
Source: RNAcentral
GAUGUGUUAGGUGCGCUGCUGACUUCUGAAUCUCGCGACUGCGGCCUAGGAAGGAACACUCUUGGCCUUCGGGUUCUAAAGCCUGAAGACAAGGCUGCUAGUUUUACAAAGUUCAAUAAUCGUCGGCGUCAGAUUCAGUCAUGGUGAUUAUAUUCGUGAGAGUAUAAGCACGCCGAAUCGACACCAAAGUGUAAGGGCACAAAUACUCAAAAUAAAUGUGUGUCUUGAUUGUGAAAGUGGUUCGACUGUCAGAAUGCCAAACUCUAAAACCCACUUGCGAAUAACCAAUCAUAAACGACUCGGCGUUCAAUGUGCCGAGUAUAAUAACUUGUAAACCUCGUUUCGCCAAGAAGGCUAACAAAAUAACCUCUGCUGAUAAGGAUUCGAAAAUCCUUCUCAAUCGAGACUUGAAUAGAUAACCAGUCGACCCUGUCGCAGUGCUGUUUAUCCAAACUGAAGGUGCUUAACGGUCGGCUGAUUCUACGGCAACAGUGAUGUUUAUCCAAACUGAAGAUGUUCACAGGUUACCUCCACAGUGCUGUUUAUCCAAACUGAAGGUGUUUUGGUGAAGAAAGGAAAACAAAAAUCUCAAGGUUGUUGAGAGGUUUUGAGUAGAGCGAGAGAAUGCGCAGAGCAAUUUGUGUGUUGAAUUGGAGGGGGUUGUUUCGAUGUCUUCUCUCCCUAUUUAUAACAGCCAACUUAUAUUAAAUCCCAAUCACUCCAGGAUUAGAACUCAUUUCCCUGAUCCAGCUUUAUCUCGGCCAAUCUUACUCAUACUAGGACUUUGAACACAACUCGUUAUCAGGCCGUAUUCAGUUCCAGCAUCCUGAUCAUGUCGAAACUCCUUCAUUCAGUUCCAACAUCCUGAUCAUGUCGAAACUCCUUCUCAUAAUAGGACUCAUCCAUAUACCUAAUUCCCUGACGAGAUAUGGCCAAUUUCGACUGCGUAACCCAUAAACUAAAAAAACCCCCAAUGAUACCCAUCCACGACUUCUAAGCCGAGAAGGACUCUGAACUCGGCCUAACCAACACUGGGCCGAGAUCAUUCUAAACUUGGCUCAAAACAAUAUUUUUGGGCUCAAACACCCCUAUUUGGAGUAAAGGGGUCCAGCCACUUAUGGUGGUUUUUUGGUGUAAUUGCAAGAUAUUAUGUCAAAAUAAUAUCUUGCAUAAUAUCUAUCUUGCAUAAUAUCUUGCAAUCAAUUAUGAAAUUAAUUAGAAAAUUAAUCAAUUAAUUUAGAUAAUUAAUCAUAUUUUGAAUGAAUAAUUAAAGGUUACCUUGUGGGGAGGAUUUGAUGAGGAUGGAUGGAAUAGGUUUUGAAUAAAUACCUAUUUUGAUCACUUUUGACCUUGAUUGAGUUGCAAUUGUUUGUUGCUUGCGAGUAGGAGUUCCGGAGUGUCUCAAGGGUACUUUGUCUUUUUAACCCAAGAAUCCACGUGUUGCCUCCAUAUUUUUCUCCAUUAUUUUUGGCUCCACAAAUGCCCCCACACCUAUUGGGCUGCUUGCAGGAACAGGCAGCAGGUGUAGAGAUCUUCUUGCUUCGGGAAACAUAAGAUUGUUUCCUAUUUUGAUGUAGAUUCCUUCUUUCAUUGGAAAUUAGAUUAUUCAAGGAAAGGGAAAUAAAUUUCUCCCAAAGUCUAUUUAAGUUUACCUUAAGUAGAUUAUUAAAUCAACUUUGGAGUGCAAUUUAUUCUACCCUACAAGAGAGAGAAAGUUAGAGGAUAUUUGUUCCCCCUCCCCUAGCAAUCUUCUACACAUGCCCGUGCAAAGGACCGUCUUUUGUUGCUUUCUUCGUCUUCACGCCACUCAGAGGUAAGAAAAAAUUAAUUGUCCUUGUCUUCUCAAUUUUUGGGAGCCUCGAGGCUUGAAAUUUGGCUCGACGGGGGUCGAGGAUGUGUGAAAAAGGGCUUGGACAAGUUCACGACAUUGUUUCCGUGGGUGGCAAGAUGCGGAGUGGUGGUGGCUCGGCUUAGCUUGGGCCGAAGGUUGAUAUGGAUGGUAUGGGCUAAGAAGUUGGGCUAGAUUAAUAGGCUUUGGCUCGUUAGAAGAAGUGGA